This 804-nucleotide long non-coding RNA is filed under the name Oryza sativa Indica Group (long-grained rice). Its description in RNAcentral is "lncRNA OsZS97_06G012210". Lineage: Eukaryota; Viridiplantae; Streptophyta; Magnoliopsida; Poales; Poaceae. The record is from RNAcentral.
CAGCGCCGCCGCCGCCCCAUCAGCCAUUGCCACCGACAGGCUGCGCCGGCGCCGCCACGCUGCUCUCCACCUCCGACGCUGGCCCAACAGCGUCACCACCAACGCCCCUCACGUGCUCCAGUGCCGUCGCUGCUGCCGGGCUGCCUCGUCAACCGUCGCCGCCGCCGAGCUGCGCCGGCGCCGCGCACUGGGCUGCGCCUCGCCGCCUCCUACUGUGACGUCGGCACAACACUGUCGUCGCCGAUCUAUCCCAUGGAUUAUCGAACUGGAAGCUCAAGUGCUAGUGCUAGUGCAUCUAGCCAUCCUAGUGGUAGUCCGGCUCCUAAUUCUGCUGCUGAUUUAUCAAGAGGAACUAGUGGUCCAGCAAGGGCAAGCAACCUCUUGAAUGCUUGCCGUGUGAUUCCUCCCAAUGACAAUGAAAACAAGCCAUUGUGGAGGUAUGUUGAGUUAAUGGAGAAAACAGGUAAAGGCCAGGGAGGGAAUGUAAGGUUUAGAUGCAGGCUUUGUGGUAAUAUUAUGCAUGGGAGCUACUCAAGAGUUAAAGCACAUCUCUUGAAGGUGGGAUCUAAUGGUGUAGCUCCCUGUCCAAAGGUAACAAUCGAUGUUCUUAGUCAACUUCACGAUGAAAUGGCUAGAGCUGCAGCAGUUGCUGAAAGGAACUUGCCUAAGGACAUCCCACUGCCAGCAGAGGGCGCGAGUAGGGGGAAGAGAAGGGUUGUUUCAGCUAUUGAGUCUAGCUUCAAUUCAGAUACUCGUUCCAACCUUGAUGCUUUGAUUGCGAGAAUGUUCUACACAGCAGGUUAG